This 1083-nucleotide ribosomal RNA is filed under the name Sugiyamaella smithiae. RNAcentral's name for it is "SSU rRNA". It matches the Rfam family "Eukaryotic small subunit ribosomal RNA", at positions 71 to 1163 of the family's 1831-position model. Lineage: Eukaryota; Fungi; Ascomycota; Dipodascomycetes; Dipodascales; Trichomonascaceae. The record is from RNAcentral.
CAUCUAUACAGUGAAACUGCGAAUGGCUCAUUAAAUCAGUUAUCGUUUAUUUGAUAGUACAUUACUACUUGGAUAACCGUGGUAAUUCUAGAGCUAAUACAUGCUAAAAAUCCUAGUCUUUGGCUAGGAUGUAUUUAUUAGAUAAAAAACCAAUGUCUUCGGACUCUUUGGUGAUUCAUAAUAACUUUUCGAAUCGCAUAGCCUUGUGCUGGCGAUGGUUCAUUCAAAUUUCUGCCCUAUCAACUUUCGAUGGUAGGAUAGUGGCCUACCAUGGUUUCAACGGGUGACGGGGAAUCAGGGUUCUAUUCCGGAGAGGGAGCCUGAGAAACGGCUACCACAUCCAAGGAAGGCAGCAGGCGCGCAAAUUACCCAAUCCUAAUACGGGGAGGUAGUGACAAUAAAUAACGAUACAGGGCCUUUUAGGUCUUGUAAUUGGAAUGAGAACAAUUUAAAUACCUUAACGAGGAACAAUUGGAGGGCAAGUCUGGUGCCAGCAGCCGCGGUAAUUCCAGCUCCAAUAGCGUAUAUUAAAGUUGUUGCAGUUAAAAAGCUCGUAGUUGAACUUUGGACUUGAUCUGCUGGUCCACCGUUUGGUGAGUACUGGUUUGGAUCGAGUCUUUCCUCCUGAUUAGCCUUGAUGUCUUUUAUCGGAUGUCUUGGUGACUCAGGACUUUUACUUUGAAAAAAUUAGAGUGUUCAAAGCAGGCCUUUGCUCGAAUAUAUUAGCAUGGAAUAAUAGAAUAGGACGUAUGGUUCUAUUUUGUUGGUUUCUAGGACCGUCGUAAUGAUUAAUAGGGACAGUCGGGGGCAUCAGUAUUCAAUUGUCAGAGGUGAAAUUCUUGGAUUUAUUGAAGACUAACUACUGCGAAAGCAUUUGCCAAGGAUGUUUUCAUUAAUCAAGAACGAAAGUUAGGGGAUCGAAGACGAUCAGAUACCGUCGUAGUCUUAACCAUAAACUAUGCCGACUAGGGAUUGGCUGAUGUUCAUUAUAGACUCAGUCAGCACCUUACGAGAAAUCUUAAGUUUUUGGGUUCUGGGGGGAGUAUGGUCGCAAGGCUGAAACUUAAAGGAAUUGACGGAAGG